GGGCCCGGAGCCACUCCACAGCCGCCGGCGAGGGAGCCAGGCAGCGGGAGGCGCGGGCAGGCCGCGCGACCCGCCCGGGGGCCGUCCAACGUGGGCGGCUGCCCCGGAGCCCGGGAGACGCAGAGCCUCCCGCGUGGACCCGCGGCGGCUCCCCCGCACCCUCCUCGCCUUUCUGCUGUUGCUCGUCCCGGUUCACAGAGAAGCGAAACCUAACGAGGGAACCGUCUAAACGAGAGAGCGACCAGGAGAGGAGAGGCGGCCAGGAAUCCCGGGCAACGAGAGACUGCCGGGCGGCGGCUGGCGCGGCGGCCGCAGAGGCUCCUCCGCCGCACUCGGGGGCCCAGCCGCGCAGCGGAGCGCGUGCAGCGAGGGCGGCUGUGCGAAAACCAGCAGUGAGAAGAAAACCAGCUGAUGAUAGGAGUUUAGGAAUAGGGUUCCUGGGCGUCCACGGUGAGACCACUGGCUAGAGGACUGGUCAGUUUGUGAGGACCGGCAUCUGUCCUGACCUGACCCUGAGAGCAGCUGUCACGCUGGUGGCACUGACGACCUAAGGGUUCAGAUGGGACGGUGGCUCCGCGGCGUGGUGUGGACCGGACUCCCUCCUGCGGUGCCUCUCCCCGUGUGUCCCCAGCCAGCGCCUCCCAGCGGUGCUGGGCGCUCACAUCGCCUGGAGAAAUAGAGAUGCGCUUGGCGGGGGGCGGGGGCUGGGGGGGGGCCGGCACGGCGGUCUGAACCGACCGCCAGAGGCGGGCUCUGAGGACGGUGACUCCCACUGGAUGAACGCCGAGCGACCCCCUGGGAAGCAGGAAGCAUUCGGAUAAACAAUGUUAACUACGUUUCCGAUCACAGGACUCAGAGAUGGAAGAGUGAACUUGGCUCUCUAAGAGGGUCAAGUACGCAGAGCUUCCCAAACUCAUGUGGCCCUUUUUUUAAAGGUUUUAUUUAGAGUAAUUGUAGAUUCAAGUGCAGUUAUAAGAAAUGAUGCAAAGACACCUGCACACCCCGCCCCCGCCAGGGGCAGCAUCUCCCCGAAGUGCAGCUCAGGAUCACGGCACGGAUACCGACACCAGCACGGCCAACACUCAGGACCCCCGACACCCACGGUCCCCUUUAUAGACACCCACCUCCCGCCAACCCCAACCUCGUCCUGAACCCCGGCAACCACUAAUCUGUCCUCCAUUUCCAUAAAGUUGUCAUCUCAAGAAUGUUUUAUAAGUGGACUCACACAGUGUGUACCUUUGGGGAUUGGCUCUUUUCACUCCAUGUGACUCCCUGGGCUCAUCCAGGUGGUUACACGUACCUGUAGGUUCGCUGCUGAGUAGUGUUCCAUGGUGUGGACGGACCAUGGCUGGUUUAACCAUUCACUUGUGGAAGGACAUCUAAGUUGAUCCAGUUUGGGCUAUCAUAUAUAAAGCUGCUAGAAACAUACAGAUGCUGGUGCAGAUAUAAAUUUCAGUUUCUUUGAUAUUAAUGUCCAAGAGCAUAAUUGCUGGGUCGUAUGGUAUUUGCACAUAUAAUUUUUUAAGAAACUGGCAAACUCUUCUCCAGAUGGCGCUACCAUUUUACGCUCCCACCAGCAAUGCAUGAGUGAUCCAGUUUCUCAGCAUCCUCACCAGCAUUUGGAGUUGUCACUAUUUUUUAUUUUAGCUCUUAUGAUAGGUGCUACCCCGUGUGGCUGUAACUUGCAUUUCCCUACUGGCUAAUGAUGUCAAACAUUUUUCCAUAUUUUAUUUGCCGUUAAUCCUCUUUGGUGAAAUAUCUCUUCAAGUUCUAACUGGACUGCUUGCUUUUUGGCUCUUUUAUUUUUUGUUUUUUGAGGUCCAAUUCUUCCAUUUUUUCUUUUAUGGAUUCUGUUUUUGGUGUCAAGUCUAAGAACAACAAAGACGUGUAGCCAUGGUGAGCGGGGGUUACUCUUCAUUGCAGUGCACAGGCUCCUCAUUGUGGCGGCUUCUCCCGUUGUGGAGCACAGGCUCCAGGCACGUGGGCUUCAGCAGUUGCAGCACACGGGCUCUAUAGUUGUGACUCAUGGGCUUAGUUGCUCUGCGGCAUGUGGUAUCCUCCCGGGGCAGGGAUCGAACCCGUGUCCCCUGUACUGGCAGGCGGACUCCCAACCACUGCACCACCU
Long non-coding RNA from Hippopotamus amphibius kiboko, 2125 nucleotides. RefSeq lists it as uncharacterized. The record is from RefSeq and is a predicted model, not a curated record. The transcript has 3 exons. Lineage: Eukaryota; Metazoa; Chordata; Mammalia; Artiodactyla; Hippopotamidae.